AGAGUUUGAUCCUGGCUCAGAGUGAACGCUGGCGGUAGGCCUAACACAUGCAAGUCGAACGGCAGCACAGUAAGAGCUUGCUCUUACGGGUGGCGAGUGGCGGACGGGUGAGGAAUACAUCGGAAUCUACUUUUUCGUGGGGGAUAACGUAGGGAAACUUACGCUAAUACCGCAUACGACCUACGGGUGAAAGCAGGGGAUCUUCGGACCUUGCGCGAUUGAAUGAGCCGAUGUCGGAUUAGCUAGUUGGCGGGGUAAAGGCCCACCAAGGCGACGAUCCGUAGCUGGUCUGAGAGGAUGAUCAGCCACACUGGAACUGAGACACGGUCCAGACUCCUACGGGAGGCAGCAGUGGGGAAUAUUGGACAAUGGGCGCAAGCCUGAUCCAGCCAUACCGCGUGGGUGAAGAAGGCCUUCGGGUUGUAAAGCCCUUUUGUUGGGAAAGAAAUCCAGCUGGUUAAUACCCGGUUGGGAUGACGGUACCCAAAGAAUAAGCACCGGCUAACUUCGUGCCAGCAGCCGCGGUAAUACGAAGGGUGCAAGCGUUACUCGGAAUUACUGGGCGUAAAGCGUGCGUAGGUGGUUGUUUAAGUCUGUUGUGAAAGCCCUGGGCUCAACCUGGGAACUGCAGUGGAAACUGGACGACUAGAGUGUGGUAGAGGGUAGCGGAAUUCCUGGUGUAGCAGUGAAAUGCGUAGAGAUCAGAGGAACAUCCAUGGCGAAAGCAGCUACCUGGACCAACACUGACACUGAGGCACGAAAGCGUGGGGAGC
RNAcentral lists this ribosomal RNA (773 nucleotides) under uncultured bacterium. RNAcentral's name for it is "bacterial SSU rRNA". It matches the Rfam family "Bacterial small subunit ribosomal RNA", at positions 8 to 769 of the family's 1533-position model. The record is from RNAcentral.